CCUACGGGUGGCAGCAGUGAGGAAUAUUGGUCAAUGGACGCGAGUCUGAACCAGCCAAGUAGCGUGAAGGAUGACUGCCCUAUGGGUUGUAAACUUCUUUUAUAAAGGAAUAAAACGAGGCACGUGUGCCUUUUUGCAUGUACUUUAUGAAUAAGGAUCGGCUAACUCCGUACCAGCAGCCGCGGUAAUACGGAGGAUUCGAGCGUUAUCCGGAUUUAUUGGGUGUAAAGGGAGCGUAGAUGGGUUGUUAAGUCAGUUGUGAAAGUUUGCGGCUCAACCGUAAAAUUGCAAUUGAUACUGGCAGUCUUGAGUACAGUUGAGGUAGGCGGAAUUCGUGGUGUAGCGGUGAAAUGCUUAGAUAUCACGAAGAACCCCGAUUGCGAAGGCAGCUUACUAAGCUGUGACUGACAUUGAUGCUCGAAAGUGUGGGGAUCAAACAGGAUUAGAUACCCCAGUAGUC
RNAcentral lists this ribosomal RNA (460 nucleotides) under uncultured bacterium. RNAcentral describes it as "partial 16S ribosomal RNA". It matches the Rfam family "Bacterial small subunit ribosomal RNA", at positions 338 to 795 of the family's 1533-position model. The record is from RNAcentral.